GGCAGCGAAAUCCCGUUCGAAUCAAACAGGAACAGCCAGAUUCGGGCGAGUGUCCUCCGAGGAAAUCGGAUAAGCGCCGUGACUUGGAGCAAUCUCCUUCUCGUCAGAUCAAAAGGGAUGCUUGGGCAGUCAGAAGCUGGGACCAUCCGGCCAGAACAUGAUCCUUACGUUUGAUGGAAAUCGUGUAGAUUAUUCAAAACAAACGUCGAGGAAAAAUAGUGUAGUUAAAGGAAAAAUAUCAAUCUUGAAACAAAAAAAAAGUUCAAAGUGUAAAUACAGUUUGUUUUGUUUUGUGUCGCUUGCUGUGAUGACAGCUGGUGAAUCAAAGUUUCGUGUUUCGAUAGAUGCAAUCGUUCUCGUCGGUGAUUACAUUUAGUGUUUCAUGCCCACCAUGGCCGCAACGGACGUGGACCAAGAAAAGGACACCGGAUAGGCGGAUUAAGCGGAAAGAAAUCCCCAGCAACAAGGUAACACACAGAAAUCUCAGAUGGAGUUUGAGACGGAAUCGUCCAAGGCAGCGACGGUCAUGACGUUGAGAACGGCUGGACUACCCUGGAAGAAUCCAUCGGUGUGUGUUAUUGAUUGUGGAACGGCCAACGAUUUUUUUCCGGCGCAUCGAGUUCGUUGAAACCGAGUUUAGCGGAGAACAAUUCGUCGUUGCUGGAUCGAUUUGGUUUUCGGAAGAUCCGGCGCCAGCGGGAUGACGGUGGAACGGUGCUGUCGGAAUCUGAGCUGGAACCGCAACAGGCUGUCUUGUUGGCUAAACGAACAGAAGAUGUACGGAUGACGACCAGGUAAAUUCUUCGCAAUUCAAAAAGAUAUUUUUUUUUCUAAUUCUAGAAUUCCGUUUCUAACGCAACAACCGGUACGUACACGGAAUCGGUUGCUGCGAUUGAGGCGGAAUUCGUAAACGAUCCAAAUUGAAUUCCGUUUAAGAAUUCCGAUUGAUUUGACUGCGAUGGACUUUUUGUUGACACUUUGAGUUGACCCAUUUACAUUGUUAAAAAUAAUGUUUAUUUUGUUCUGUCAAACAGUUCAUCAUGCUCACCCUCAAGUAAAAAUCAACUAGGGGAAAUAUACCCAUUUUAAUCACCUCAAGCCGUUCGACUAAUUCUCAUCACUUUUGAAGUUUUCCGCUAUUAAAUCAACGUUUUUAGAUACAUCAACAAUGGAGAGUUGCUUGCUCACUUUUAUUUGAGCUAUUUGUUACUUUGGAUUGUCUGUGCUUUGGAACAGCCAAAAACAAUUUAUGAAAGCUGGAAUUCAUGACCAAAGUGUAGAUAGGCCGAUAAUAGAAAUAGGCUGAGAAAGAGUAUAUUUCCCCUAAUAGGUCACGAUGGCUCUUUUGAAACUUGAUACGAGAUUUUAGUUUCUCUGCUUUGCUGAAAAAUUUAACUGUCAAUGUUGAUUAUGAUUAUAAUUAUUAUUAUUUAAAUUUUCUUUAUUUAUUUUCAGAAAACAGCAACAUAAGAUCAACAUAACUCAAGAAUGUACUUUAUUCAACGUAGUGAGGAAUAUCACCAGCCACGUAUUGGACAAAAAAGAUAAGUGAACAUUUUUAUCAUGGUGUAAACUAGAGAUUUGGCGAAUUGUUUUUAUUUACAGGUGUGUCCCUCAGUUACGCUUCGGACCUGAACCUGAUUUUUGAAGCAGCGGUGUUACCGUAGAAGACGGUAUUCAGGCCGGUGUAGCACGACAGCGCAACUUCCCAUCGGCAGAACUCCAAUUUAAGCAAAAUCGGCAGCUGAAGGUUAUGUCAAACCUGGACCCAUUUCACCAGACCGACAACUUUCACAGAAUGGCAGAGAUGGAGCUGUUCGAGGAUUGGCUUCUGCGAUUGCUACUAAAAUUCUGGACGAGGUUUACUGCCACUCGAAGCCAAUCUGUUCCAUAUGUAAUUUUGUCAAAUUUGAGUUAAUGAUAUUAGUUCUAAAUCAUGUGAACUAUCAGAAAACUAAUAAUAUUGAGUACUUUAUUCCAGAAAACGAAGAUAGUCACACUUUUUCGUGAAAUCCUAACACUUAGCCUUAAGGGCGGGACACAUUUGCAUUACGUUUUUCUCAGCUUGUUGUUUUUACAAAUGGAAUGGAAUAGAUUCGAGCGGCAGUUUACAACCUAGUUCAACCCUGUGCUGCAUGAGAUGUCUCAUUGAGCUAUGAUGUUAGAAUUAUAUUUAAAAAAACACUUUUUCUAAGAUCAUAUUGUAUUUUUUUCCCUUAUGUUGAAUAAGUCACUUCUUUAGGCACUC
This is a long non-coding RNA of Culex pipiens pallens (northern house mosquito), 2248 nucleotides long. RefSeq lists it as uncharacterized. The transcript is spliced from 2 exons. The record is from RefSeq and is a predicted model, not a curated record. Lineage: Eukaryota; Metazoa; Arthropoda; Insecta; Diptera; Culicidae.